Molecule: ribosomal RNA, 505 nt
Filed under: Cervidellus vexilliger
Lineage: Eukaryota; Metazoa; Nematoda; Chromadorea; Rhabditida; Cephalobidae
Description: SSU rRNA
Rfam family: Eukaryotic small subunit ribosomal RNA
Source: RNAcentral
CGCGAAUGGCUCAUUACAACAGCUAAAAUCUACUUGAUCUUGACACAAUCCUACUUGGAUAACUGUGGUAAUUCUAGAGCUAAUACAUGCAUUAAAGCUCUGACCUCGCGGGAAGAGUGCAUUUAUUAGAACAAAACCAAGCGGCUUCGGCUGUUUCUGGUUGACUCAUAGUAACUGAGCUGAUCGCAUGGUCUUGCACCGGCGACGUGUCUUUCAAGUAUCUGCCGUAUCAACUUUCGAUGGUAGUGUAUCUGACUACCAUGGUGAUCACGCGUAACGGAGAAUAAGGGUUCGGCUCCGGAGAGUUCGCCUGAGAAAUCGCGAACACAUCUAAGGAAGGCAGCAGGCGCGAAAAUUACCCACUCUCAGCACGAGGAGGUAGUGACGAAAAAUAACGAGACCGUUCUCUUAUGAGGCCGGUCAUCGGAAUGGGUACAAUUUAAACCCUUUAACGAGUAUCUAUGAGAGGGCAAGUCUGGUGCCAGCAGCCGCGGUAAUUCCAGCU